Molecule: long non-coding RNA, 2163 nt
Organism: Arachis duranensis
Lineage: Eukaryota; Viridiplantae; Streptophyta; Magnoliopsida; Fabales; Fabaceae
Exons: 7
Source: RefSeq, a predicted model, not a curated record
UUGUCUUAGAGGUGCUCAGGUGCCUCAAGACUCUUGAUUAACUGCUGAAUUUCUUUUUGCUGUUCCUUAUGGCACUUAAUGAAUAUCCUCUGAAAAGAGAACAUGAUGUGGAAUUCACUGGCUACUUCUUACACUUGUUGACAUAAAAAAGAAGAAGAUGGAAUUAGAUAUUGUAUUUCAUUUGCUGUGUAAUUUGUCUGAGGUUCUCAAGAAUUUUGUCCUAAAUAGAGCUGAUGUAUUGCGAGAAAACGCAGAAGUUGUAUUUGCAGCAUGUGAUACUGCUCAUGGAAGAUGGGCAAAGCUUCUUGUGGUCCGUGCUGUUCUCCAUCCAAGGCUGAAAUUGCAGGAGUUUCAGAAGAUAUAUAACAUCACCUAGGGGUUCAUUACUGCUACAGAAAAGUUGGUGGAAGAUUGGGAUACAGCAUCCCGUGGGACACUGCAGUCUCAGGCCAAAGCCUUUGUUGAUUUCCAGCAUGAAUCCCGGAUGACAAAAUUAGGGCAGUGUUUGACCAAGAAACAUGGGUAGAGAUAGAUAUUCCUGAUGAAUUUCAAUCCAUUAUCAAAGUGGUUUUUUCAUCUGAUGCAUUGCAUUCUGAGAGCUUUAGUGAAACUGACGAUGUUAAUUCAACUAGUUACAAUGAUGUUCUGCCAAUGUCGGAAACUGGACAGUCAAAUGCUGAACAACCCGAGGAGCAGACUAAGUCCACUGAAUCACCUACUACUGAAGUAGAUAACGCUAAAGCCCAGGCAAUUCAAUAGAGCUAAUAGUAAAAUUUCAUCAGCACAAUGUAAAAAAUACAGAGAAAGACCAUAAAAGAUCUGCAUCUCAGGCUCUUUACUACAAAGGUGUUGGUUAUCACAUGGUAAACUGUGGCUUAAUAUUGCUGAAGAUGCUGUCAGAGUACAUUGAUAUGAACAAUUUGUUGCCGCCACUUUCUUCAGAAGUUGUACGUCGUGUGGUAGAAAUUUUGAAACUUUUCAACACAUGAACUUGUCAACUUGUGCUUGGGGCUAGUGCUAUGCAGGUGUCUGGUUUGAAGUCCUCCACUUCGAAACAUCUGGCAUUGGCAAGUCAAGUCAUUAGUUUUACCCAUGCUAUUAUUCCUGGAUUAUAAAGUUCAGAGAGACGAAAUACAUUCCAAAUUAGUUCAGAUAAUGCGAGAGAGAUUACGGGUCCGUUUGCGUGGGUUGCCUCAAAUUGUUGAGAGUUGGAAUAGACCUGAGGAUACUUAUCCCUAGCCUAGUCAGUUUGCUAAGUCCCUUACAAAGGAAGUUAGAUACCUCCAACGUGUUCUGUCUCGUACUUUGCAUAAAGAUGAUGUUCAAGCUAUCUUCAGGUAAGAACCUCAGAAAUCUCUUGCCAAGAAUAUGACAACUUUAGGAGCAACUAACCAUUUCACACCACUUAUGGAUUUAUGCAAAUGCUUGGGUUCUUAAUAAUUGUUUCUUGACUUGCUUGCUUGAGUCUAGAAACAAUUAACCCCUUGUACUUACAAUAUUGUCUAUCCACAAGAAUUCCUUUUGGUAACUUCUUGAACCAUUUUACUAGGCAGAAAGAAUUAUUGAAGCACAUCCCAAAGGCAUGAUAUAAUGACCACACAUAGCGCAGUGGUGGGCAUUAGUAUCAAUUCCCAUCUUAAUUUGUUUUUGAUAACAUUUUAUGUUGUAUCUUUAUUACCGUCUUUUCUUAAUUUGUUUUCAUAUCUUCAUAUUAUUUUGUUCUGUUAUGUAAAGGUUCAUCUACAUGUAUUGCGACUAUUGUGUUGUUACAGAUUUUGGAUUUGUAAUUGUAUUAUUUUAUAUGAUUUAUUUAUGACAUUAUGUACAAGGUUGUCAAAUAGCUGUUAUUGUGGCAGUAGUGUUAUAACUAAUUGACAACCUUGUGUAAGAACUUGGUACAACAACAACAAAGUCUUGUAUCAUUUGGUGGGGUCGAUUAUAUAAAUUAAAUGACUUCAUUUUGCUAUGUGAUGUAUCAUGUCUGUAGUUAGUCCAUUUAGGAUUAAAUUUCUUGACACAAUUUUCCUUCUACCCCUAACCACAGGUCUAUUGAUUAGCGGAUAUUUUAUACGCUUUUUGGGGGUAAUUUCAUGUAGAUUUUAGUAUGUUUUAGUUAGUUUUUAGUAGAUUUUUAUUAGUUUUUAGGCAAAAAUUAUAUUUCUA